ACCUCGAUGUCGGCUCAUCACAUCCUGGGGCUGAAGUAGGUCCCAAGGGUAUGGCUGUUCGCCAUUUAAAGUGGUACGCGAGCUGGGUUUAGAACGUCGUGAGACAGUUCGGUCCCUAUCUGCCGUGGGCGCUGGAGAACUGAGGGGGGCUGCUCCUAGUACGAGAGGACCGGAGUGGACGCAUCACUGGUGUUCGGGUUGUCAUGCCAAUGGCACUGCCCGGUAGCUAAAUGCGGAAGAGAUAAGUGCUGAAAGCAUCUAAGCACGAAACUUGCCCCGAGAUGAGUUCUCCCUGACCCUUUAAGGUCCUGAAGGAACGUUGAAGACGACGACGUUGAUAGGCCGGGUGUGUAAGCGCAGCGAUGCGUUGAGCUAACCGGUACUAAUGAACCGUGAGGCUUAACCUU
Molecule: ribosomal RNA, 407 nt
Filed under: Shigella flexneri
Lineage: Bacteria; Pseudomonadati; Pseudomonadota; Gammaproteobacteria; Enterobacterales; Enterobacteriaceae
Description: partial 23S ribosomal RNA
Rfam family: Bacterial large subunit ribosomal RNA
Source: RNAcentral